GUGCUCGCUUCAGCAGCACAUAUACUAAAAUUGGAACAAUACAGAGAUUAGCAUGGCCCCUGCUCGAAAGACAUAUACUGAGAGAUUCACAAAGAUGAG
RNAcentral lists this small nuclear RNA (99 nucleotides) under Chinchilla lanigera (long-tailed chinchilla). The record is from RNAcentral. Lineage: Eukaryota; Metazoa; Chordata; Mammalia; Rodentia; Chinchillidae.